GUGAUCUAUAUCCAAUUGACUUGUAAAUUAAACAAUAUUUCUAAUUUGUAUAAUGCUAUGAUAAGCAAUUGGAUAAACUCAUAAACAUGUGUCUUUUUUUUAAUCUAUUGUAUGUAUUUAGACUGAUUCCGACUUAACUUGUUUUUAGAGCAUUUACAAAGAAAGGCAUAGGAGCAUCACAUGCAAAUCACUCUCCUUGUUGAGCAUUGAUACCUCAUCUUGUCCCAUAAGCAUCUCUCUUUUUCCCUGCUGCUUUUCACCCAUAGCACACACACCAGCCACUUUUACGUGCACUCUUCUAACAACCCAAUAAAGUUUCUUCUUCUUUGCAAGCCCACUCUCUCAAUCUCUCAUGUAUUUUAAACCGUUAAAGUUUCAGCAUAAUCAAGAUCUACUGGAGAAAAAAGGCAGACAAGGGGGCUUUGCAGACGGUCUUUGCUGUUCUUGGAUGCCCCAUGUAAGUUUAGACCCUUGUUGUGUUCCCAUUUUCCAGUCAACCGUGUUACAUGUAUUUAAAAACCAAUACCAAAAGCUUUAACCCCGUCCCUCUUCAUUACAACUCUGCAUAACCCUCUCACCUCAAGGGCUCCAGGGGCUACACAGAAAGAGCUCGGAGAUGGAAAACCUCAACUCACAGCUAUAUUGGCAGAACUACUGCAUAAUCAAGGAAAACGAAAGGUUGAGGAGGAAGGCUCAACAGCUGAACCAGGAGAACCAGGCUUUGUUGUCUG
This is a non-coding RNA of Theobroma umbraticum, 731 nucleotides long. The record is from RefSeq and is a predicted model, not a curated record. NCBI's taxonomy places the organism in Eukaryota, Viridiplantae, Streptophyta, Magnoliopsida, Malvales, Malvaceae.